GCCUAGAACCAUGUGAAGGUCCAGAUUUAAGUCCUGGAGCGCUGGGGGUUGCUCGAGUUCUGACUGGAGUGGAUGAUCGAGUCGGUAUGGGACGUGAGGUUGGAGUCGAUGGCCUUGCAGUUGAGAGGGUAGCUGGUAUGGAACGUGAGGUUGGAGCCGAUGGCCUUGCAGUUGAGAGGGUAGCUGGUAUGGGACGUGAGGUUGGAGUCGAUGGCCUUGCAGAUGAGAGAGCAGCUGCUCGGCUCCCUGGGGUUGAUGGCCUUGAGGUUACUGAGGCUGAGCUAGUGUCAAGGAC
This 295-nucleotide long non-coding RNA is filed under the name Phoenix dactylifera (date palm). Its description in RNAcentral is "long non-coding RNA (PDAC_LNC004076)". Lineage: Eukaryota; Viridiplantae; Streptophyta; Magnoliopsida; Arecales; Arecaceae. The record is from RNAcentral.